The submitters of this ribosomal RNA (3197 nucleotides) gave its source as uncultured archaeon A07HB70. It matches the Rfam family "Archaeal large subunit ribosomal RNA". The record is from Rfam.
GUCGCAUGGCUACUCUACCAACUGGUGGAUAGCUCGGCUCGAGAGCCGACGAAGGACGUGCCAAGCUGCGAUAAGCUCCGGGGACCCGCACGGAGGGUAAGAACCGGAGAUUUCCGAAUGGGAAUCCCCACCGCAAUUGCUUCGCGCAAUGGGGAACGCUCCGAAUUGAAACAUCUCAGUAGGAGCAGGAAGAGAACGCAACCGCGAUGUCGUCAGUAACCGCGAGUGAACGCGACACAGCCCAAACCGAAUCCUUCGGGAUAUGUGGUGUGUGGGCUGGCUCUCACCGUCCGAACGACCGUCCGAAGUCCCCUGGAACGGGGCGUGAGACAGGGUGAAAACCCCGUAGGCCGGUCAAGUACGACGCGCGCCAGUACCCGAGUAUCGAGGGUUGGAUAUCCCUCGUGAACGACCCAGGCAUCGACUGGGAAGGCUAAACACUCCUCGAGACCGAUAGCGAACCAGUAGCGUGAGCGAACGCUGAAAAGCACCCCAAGAAGGGCGGUGCAAUAGGGCUUGAAGUCAGUUGGUGAUAGAACGACGGGGCACAAAAGGUCGAGAGAGAAACGACCGGAGAGCGAUCUCCCAGUAGGAGUCUCUCGAAGCCGCUGUUCCGUCGUACGUUUUGAAAAACGAGCCAGGGAGUGUAUCUGUUCGGCGAGUCUAACCCGGUCAUCGGGGAAGGCGUAGGGAAACCGACAUGGUCGCAGGGCUUUGCCCCAGGACCGCCGUGUUCAAGCGCGGGGAGUCGAACGGAUACGACCCGGAACCGAGUGAUCUACGCGAAGGCAGGGCGAAGCGUGGCGAAAGCCGCGUGGAGGCCCGUUAGAGUUGGUGUCCUACAAUACCCUCUCGUGACCUUCGUGUAGGGGUGAAAGGCCCAUCGAACUCGGCAACAGCCUGGUUCCGACCGAAACAUGUCGUAGCAUGACCUCUUCCGAGGUAGUACGCGGGGUAGAGCUACCGAUUGGGCGACCCGCCUCCGAGAGGAGUCGGCCGUCCUGUCGAACUCCGAACCUGCGCACGCCGUUGACGAAGGGAGUCCGGUGCUCGGGGUAAGCCUGAGUACCGUGAGGGAGACAACCCAGAGCGUGGUUAAGGACCCAAAGUGUGGACUAAGUGCGAUCGAAGAUAGUCCCGAGCCCUAGACAGCCGGGAGGUGAGCUUAGAAGCAGCUACCCUCUAAGAAAAGCGUAACAGCUUACCGGCCGAGGUUCGGGGCGUCGAAAAUGAUCGGGGCUCAAGUCCACCUCCGAGACCUCGCAGCACCCGUCACAGGGUGAUCUCGUAGGUCGGCGUUCGGUGCGGGUGGAAGUGCGGGCGAGAGCUCGUGUGGACCGCAUUGUAACGACAAUCCUGGUCACAGUAGCAGCGAUAGUCGGGUAAGAAUCCCGACGGCCACAAGGGCAAGGGUUCCUCGGCACUGUUCGUCAACCGAGGGUUAGCCGAUCCUAAGUCUCACCGCAACUCGACUGAGACAAAGGGGAAACUGGUUAAUAUUCCAGUGCCUGUGUGCAGUGAAAGACGACGCUUCGGGGUCGACCGAACGAGGCACCCGCCUCGUCUAACCGUCAAAAUCCGUGGAAGCCGUAACGGCACGAAGCGGACGAACGGCGGGAUAGCGCAAGUCGGUUCAACCUGGAGCCCGUGAAAAGUUGAGCACACAGAUCGUACCGAGAUCCGACACAGGUGCCCUAGCGGAGAAAGCUAUGGCCUGUCGGGNNNNNNNNNNNNNNNNNNNNACCGUAAUUCGACUGUGACAACUGGGAAGCUGGUUAAUAUUCCAGCGCCACUACGCGUUGAACUCCAACGCUUCGAGGUCGGUCGAGCCGGGCAUCCGCCCGGUCCAAUCGUCAAACUCCGUGGAAGCCGUAACGGCAGGAAGCGGACGAACGGCGAGAGUGCGUAAGUCGGCCUGACUUGGAGCCCGUGAAACGGAGAGCGUGGUGUCCGUACCAAGAUCCGACACAGGUACCCUGGCAGCGUAAGCCAAGACCUUCGGGAGCAACCGACGUUAGGGAAUUCGGCAAGUUUGUCCCGUACGUUCGCAAUAAGGGAUGCCUGCCCUCGACGGGGCAGGUCGCAGUGACUUGGCCGCUCCGACUGUCUAGUAACAACACAGGUGACCGCAAAUCCGCAAGGACUCGUACGGUCACUGAAUCCUGCCCAGUGCGGGUAUCUGAACACCAAGUACAAUUGGACGAAGGACCCGUUAACGGCGGGGGUAACUAUGACCCUCUUAAGGUAGCGUAGUACCUUGCCGCUUCAGUAGCGGCUUGCAUGAAUGGAUCAACGAGAGCGUCGCUGUCCCAACGCUGGACCCGGUGAACUGUACGUUCCAGUGCGGAGUCUGGAGACCCCCAAGGGGAAGCGAAGACCCUAUAGAGCUUUACUGCAGGCUGUCGCUGAGACGUGGUCGCCGAUGUGCAGCAUAGGUAGGAGGCGUUACAGAGGUACCCGCGCUAGCGGGUCACCCAGCCAUCAGUGAAAUACUACCCGUCGGUGACUGCGACUCUCACUCCUGGCGGAGAACACCGGUAGCCGGGCAGUUUGACUGGGGCGGUACGCGCUCGAAAAGAUAUCGAGCGCGCCCAAAGAUAUCCUCAUCCGGGUCGGGAACCCGGAGAAGAGUGCAAGAGCAAAAGGAUGUCUGACAGUGUCGGGCCUAACGACCGACGCUGACGCGAAAGCGUGGUCUAGCGAACCAACGAGGCUCCUCAAUGGUGCCCGUUGAUGACAGAAAAGCUACCUUAGGGAUAACAGAGUCGUCACCGGCAAGAGCACAUAUCGACCCGGUGGCUUGCUACCUCGAUGUCGGUUCCCUCCAUCCUGCCCGUGCAGAAGCGGGCAAGGGUAAGGUUGUUCGCCUAUUAAAGGAGGUCGUGAGCUGGGUUUAGACCGUCGUGAGACAGGUCGGCUGCUAUCUAUUGGGGGUGUCAGGUGUCUGCUGGGAACGAUCGUAUAGUACGAGAGGAACUACGGUCGGCGGCCACUGGUGUACCGGUUGUCCGAGAGGGCAUACGCCGGGCAGCCACGCCGCACGGGGUAAGAGCUGAAAGCAUCUAAGCUCGAAACCCACCCACAAAAGAGACACCGUCGAGGUCACUCGUAGAAGACGAGUUCGAUAGACUCGGGGUGUACGCGCCAAGGCAACGAGGCGUUCAGCCCGCGAGCACUAACAGACCAAGCCAUACUCA